CUUGACUGCCUUCCUAAUUGAUUCUCUAAUCUUUAAUAUGCUUGAAAGUAGUUAGAGAAUGAGUUUUGACUAUUGGAGUACUUGGAAUAGCUGUUAGACCCAAAAACUAGCCAUAAGAAGUAAUUAUGCACACUUCUAAAAAUUUUAUAGAACUAGCCAUUGAAACUCGAGUCAACCCAGAUUGGACUUGAGUCAACUCGAAUGACCUCAUGUCUUCCUUCCAGAAAACAUUCCUUUCUAUUUUUUUCUAUAAC
This 254-nucleotide long non-coding RNA is filed under the name Elaeis guineensis (African oil palm). Its description in RNAcentral is "long non-coding RNA (EGUI_LNC072299)". Lineage: Eukaryota; Viridiplantae; Streptophyta; Magnoliopsida; Arecales; Arecaceae. The record is from RNAcentral.